AACGAACGCUGGCGGCGUGCCUAACACAUGCAAGUCGAGCGCGAAAAGGGCAACCUGAGUAGAGCGGCGCACGGGUGCGUAACACGUGGGUAAUCUGCCUGGGAGACAUGGAUAACCAGCCGAAAGGUUGGCUAAUACGUGAUAAGCCCACGGCCUCUUCGGAGGCAGUGGGAAAAGGAUGGCCUCUGUUUACAAGCUAUCGCUUCCGGAUGAGCCCGCGGCCCAUCAGCUAGUUGGCGGGUAAUGGCCCACCAAGGCAACGACGGGUAGCUGGUCUGAGAGGACGAUCAGCCACACUGGAACUGAGACACGGUCCAGACUCCUACGGGUGGCUG
Molecule: ribosomal RNA, 335 nt
Filed under: uncultured Pseudomonadota bacterium
Lineage: Bacteria; Pseudomonadati; Pseudomonadota
Description: bacterial SSU rRNA
Rfam family: Bacterial small subunit ribosomal RNA
Source: RNAcentral